Molecule: ribosomal RNA, 556 nt
Filed under: Hanseniaspora uvarum
Lineage: Eukaryota; Fungi; Ascomycota; Saccharomycetes; Saccharomycodales; Saccharomycodaceae
Description: partial large subunit ribosomal RNA
Rfam family: Eukaryotic large subunit ribosomal RNA
Source: RNAcentral
UGCAUAUCAAUAAGCGGAGGAAAAGAAACCAACUGGGAUUACCUUAGUAACGGCGAGUGAAGCGGUAAAAGCUCAAAUUUGAAAUCUGGUACUUUCAGUGCCCGAGUUGUAAUUUGUAGAAUUUGUCUUUGAUUAGGUCCUUGUCUAUGUUCCUUGGAACAGGACGUCAUAGAGGGUGAGAAUCCCGUUUGGCGAGGAUACCUUUUCUCUGUAAGACUUUUUCGAAGAGUCGAGUUGUUUGGGAAUGCAGCUCAAAGUGGGUGGUAAAUUCCAUCUAAAGCUAAAUAUUGGCGAGAGACCGAUAGCGAACAAGUACAGUGAUGGAAAGAUGAAAAGAACUUUGAAAAGAGAGUGAAAAAGUACGUGAAAUUGUUGAAAGGGAAGGGCAUUUGAUCAGACAUGGUGUUUUUUGCAUGCACUCGCCUCUCGUGGGCUUGGGCCUCUCAAAAAUUUCACUGGGCCAACAUCAAUUUUGGCAGCAGGAUAAAUCAUUAAGAAUGUAGCUACUUCGGUAGUGUUAUAGCUUUUUGGAAUACUGUUAGCCGGGAUUGAGGAC